UACGUAGGGUGCAAGCGUUGUCCGGAAUUAUUGGGCGGAAAGAGCUCGUAGGCGGUUUGUUGCGUCGGCUGUGAAAUCCCGAGGCUCAACCUCGGGUCUGCAGUCGAUACGAGCAAACUAGAGUGUUGCAGGGGAGACUGGAAUUCCUGGUGUAGCGGUGAAAUGCGCAGAUAUCAGGAGGAACACCGGUGGCGAAGGCGGGUCUCUGGGCAACAACUGACGCUGAGGAGCGAAAACGUGGGGAGCGAACAGG
This 253-nucleotide ribosomal RNA is filed under the name uncultured bacterium. Its description in RNAcentral is "partial 16S ribosomal RNA". It matches the Rfam family "Bacterial small subunit ribosomal RNA", at positions 524 to 776 of the family's 1533-position model. The record is from RNAcentral.